This 253-nucleotide ribosomal RNA is filed under the name uncultured bacterium. RNAcentral describes it as "partial 16S ribosomal RNA". It matches the Rfam family "Bacterial small subunit ribosomal RNA", at positions 524 to 776 of the family's 1533-position model. The record is from RNAcentral.
UACGUAGGGGGCAAGCGUUGUCCGGAUUUAUUGGGCGUAAAGAGCUCGUAGGCGGUCUGUCGCGUCGGCUGUGAAAACCUGGGGCUUAACUCCGGGCCUGCAGCCGAUACGGGCAGACUAGAGUUCGGCAGGGGAGACUGGAAUUCCUGGUGUAGCGGUGAAAUGCGCAGAUAUCAGGAGGAACACCGGUGGCGAAGGCGGGUCUCUGGGCCGAUACUGACGCUGAGGAGCGAAAGCGUGGGGAGCAAACAGG